Long non-coding RNA from Drosophila hydei, 196 nucleotides. RefSeq lists it as uncharacterized. NCBI's taxonomy places the organism in Eukaryota, Metazoa, Arthropoda, Insecta, Diptera, Drosophilidae. The transcript has 3 exons. The record is from RefSeq and is a predicted model, not a curated record.
GUGGAGCAGAGCUACACUCAAUGCUGAACGAAGCUUCAAUACCGAUAAAUAUCGAUAACUGUUGCAUCACAUUCAUAACCAUACUUCGAAGAUCAUAGCUAGCGCCAUUCGUCUUGAUUCAAACACCUCUUAGCUGUGCAGCCAGUGACCAUUCGACACACACUACUCAUACAGGGUAUCUUAUAGUCGCAACCGC